GAUAAACGCUGGCGGCGUGCCUAAUACAUGCAAGUCGAGCGAACGGACGAGAAGCUUGCUUCUCUGAUGUUAGCGGCGGACGGGUGAGUAACACGUGGAUAACCUACCUAUAAGACUGGGAUAACUUCGGGAAACCGGAGCUAAUACCGGAUAAUAUUUUGAACCGCAUGGUUCAAAAGUGAAAGACGGUCUUGCUGUCACUUAUAGAUGGAUCCGCGCUGCAUUAGCUAGUUGGUAAGGUAACGGCUUACCAAGGCAACGAUGCAUAGCCGACCUGAGAGGGUGAUCGGCCACACUGGAACUGAGACACGGUCCAGACUCCUACGGGAGGCAGCAGUAGGGAAUCUUCCGCAAUGGGCGAAAGCCUGACGGAGCAACGCCGCGUGAGUGAUGAAGGUCUUCGGAUCGUAAAACUCCGUUAUUAGGGAAGAACAUAUGUGUAAGUAACUGUGCACAUCUUGACGGUACCUAAUCAGAAAGCCACGGCUAACUACGUGCCAGCAGCCGCGGUAAUACGUAGGUGGCAAGCGUUAUCCGGAAUUAUUGGGCGUAAAGCGCGCGUAGGCGGUUUUUUAGUCUGAUGUGAAAGCCCACGGCUCAACCGUGGAGGGUCAUUGGAAACUGGAAAACUUGAGUGCAGAAGAGGAAAGUGGAAUUCCAUGUGUAGCGGUGAAAUGCGCAGAGAUAUGGAGGAACACCAGUGGCGAAGGCGACUUUCUGGUCUGUAACUGACGCUGAUGUGCGAAAGCGUGGGGAUCAAACAGGAUUAGAUACCCUGGUAGUCCACGCCGUAAACGAUGAGUGCUAAGUGUUAGGGGGUUUCCGCCCCUUAGUGCUGCAGCUAACGCAUUAAGCACUCCGCCUGGGGAGUACGACCGCAAGGUUGAAACUCAAAGGAAUUGACGGGGACCCGCACAAGCGGUGGAGCAUGUGGUUUAAUUCGAAGCAACGCGAAGAACCUUACCAAAUCUUGACAUCCUUUGACAACUCUAGAGAUAGAGCCUUCCCCUUCGGGGGACAAAGUGACAGGUGGUGCAUGGUUGUCGUCAGCUCGUGUCGUGAGAUGUUGGGUUAAGUCCCGCAACGAGCGCAACCCUUAAGCUUAGUUGCCAUCAUUAAGUUGGGCACUCUAAGUUGACUGCCGGUGACAAACCGGAGGAAGGUGGGGAUGACGUCAAAUCAUCAUGCCCCUUAUGAUUUGGGCUACACACGUGCUACAAUGGACAAUACAAAGGGCAGCGAAACCGCGAGGUCAAGCAAAUCCCAUAAAGUUGUUCUCAGUUCGGAUUGUAGUCUGCAACUCGACUACAUGAAGCUGGAAUCGCUAGUAAUCGUAGAUCAGCAUGCUACGGGAAUACGAAUCCCGGGUCU
This 1371-nucleotide ribosomal RNA is filed under the name uncultured bacterium. RNAcentral describes it as "bacterial SSU rRNA". It matches the Rfam family "Bacterial small subunit ribosomal RNA", at positions 28 to 1381 of the family's 1533-position model. The record is from RNAcentral.